CAGUCGCCGCGGUAAUACAGAGGGUGCGAGCGUUAAUCGGAUUUACUGGGCGUAAAGCGUGCGUAGGCGGCUUCUUAAGUCGGAUGUGAAAUCCCUGAGCUUAACUUAGGAAUUGCAUUUGAUACUGGGAAGCUAGAGUAUGGGAGAGGAUGGUAGAAUUCCAGGUGUAGCGGUGAAAUGCGUAGAGAUCUGGAGGAAUACCGAUGGCGAAGGCAGCCAUCUGGCCUAAUACUGACGCUGAGGUACGAAAGCAUGGGGAGCAAACAGGAUUAGAUACCCGUGUAGUCCCUGUCUCUUAUAC
Molecule: ribosomal RNA, 301 nt
Filed under: uncultured bacterium
Lineage: Bacteria
Description: partial 16S ribosomal RNA
Rfam family: Bacterial small subunit ribosomal RNA
Source: RNAcentral